UCACGGAUGAACACCCUUCCCCGACCGCAUUCCUUCCGCUCUCGACUAUUAUGUAAAACACCCGCUUCUGUUCUCGAACGUUGACGGUAAAGUUGAGUUGUAAAGCGAGAUAUUUGUAACUUUCUGUUGAUUUUUACGGUAUCGAGUGGAGCGCGAUGGUGCUGAAGUCCGAGGACGGUGUCGUGUGACUCAGACAGGCUGCAACUUGUCCAGACUCCUGAAGUCUGAGGCAAUAUCCAGCAUACCACUGAAUACAUGAGCAGCAUUUCUCUUUGAAUUCCCUGCUUUUUAAGCAGCAUGUUUCCUGGACGUUUAACAGUAUAUUGUAACGUGCUGUAGUCGUGUGUGUUUGUAACACUUGUUGUCUGAUGGUGAGGAAUGUAGCUCAGCUGUCUGGGUUCGGUGAAGGGGGUUGGGAUGUUUUCUAGGAGAAUGCUGAAUGCUGAUAUCUCAAUCUCGCAUAGCCAGACUUUUGACUAUCGAGUAUCAACGUACACAUAUUCUUCACUUUGCAAGUGUUCCAAGAACCAUCCACAAAGGAAGAAUUUCAACAGAAUACAUGUUGGCCCAAGCACAAAGCACAGCAUGCAAUUUUGCUUGAGCAUUUCUUGUUUACAUGCUGCAAAAAAUCUCAUACAAAACUGUAAAAAAAAAAA
Long non-coding RNA from Sinocyclocheilus grahami, 656 nucleotides. RefSeq lists it as uncharacterized. NCBI's taxonomy places the organism in Eukaryota, Metazoa, Chordata, Actinopteri, Cypriniformes, Cyprinidae. The record is from RefSeq and is a predicted model, not a curated record. The transcript is spliced from 2 exons.